This 374-nucleotide ribosomal RNA is filed under the name uncultured bacterium. RNAcentral's name for it is "partial 16S ribosomal RNA". It matches the Rfam family "Bacterial small subunit ribosomal RNA", at positions 30 to 416 of the family's 1533-position model. The record is from RNAcentral.
AUUGAACGCUGGCGGCAGGCUUAACACAUGCAAGUCGAGCGGAGACUUCGGUCUUAGCGGCGAACGGGUGAGUAAUACCUAGGAAUCUGCCUAUUAGUGGGGGAUAACGAAUCGAAAGGUUCGCUAAUACCGCAUACGUCCUACGGGAGAAAGGGGGGAUCUUCGGACCUCUCGCUAAUAGAUGAGCCUAGGCCGGAUUAGCUAGUUGGGGGGGUAAAGGCCCACCAAGGCGACGAUCCGUAGCUGGUCUGAGAGGAUGACCAGCCACACUGGAACUGAGACACGGUCCAGACUCCUACGGGAGGCAGCAGUGGGGAAUAUUGGACAAUGGGGGGAAACCCUGAUCCAGCCAUGCCGCGUGUGUGAAGAAGGCC